Molecule: ribosomal RNA, 255 nt
Filed under: uncultured prokaryote
Description: partial 16S ribosomal RNA
Rfam family: Bacterial small subunit ribosomal RNA
Source: RNAcentral
UACGUAGGGUGCAAGCGUUGUUCGGAAUUACUGGGCGUAAAGGGCGCGUAGGCGGAUCUGUAAGUCGGUUGUGAAAUCCCCGGGCUUAACCUGGGAGCGGCAGCUUCGAUACUGCAGAUCUUGAAUACUUGAGAGGAUGGCGGAAUUCCAGGUGUAGAGGUGAAAUUCGUAGAUAUCUGGAAGAACACCGGAGGCGAAGGCGGCUGUCUGGCAAGUUAUUGACGCUGAGGCGCGAAAGCGUGGGGAUCAAACAGG